AUACGGAGGAUCCGAGCGUUAUCCGGAUUUAUUGGGUUUAAAGGGUGCGCAGGCGGCCAUUUAAGUCAGCGGUUAAAUCGUGGGGCUCAACCCCAUUCUGCCGUUGAUACUGGGUGGCUUGAUUGCGGUCGAGGUUGGCGGAAUUCGUUGUGUAGCGGUGAAAUGCAUAGAUAUGACGAAGAACACCGAUUGCGUAGGCAGCUGACCAGACCGCAAAUGACGCUCAUGCACGAAAGUGCGGGUAUCGAACAGGAUUAGAUACCCUGGUAGUCCGCACAGUAAACGAUGAAUACUUGUUUUCGGCGAUAUAAUGUCGGAGGCAAAGCGAAAGCGAUAAGUAUUCCACCUGGGGAGUACGCCGGCAACGGUGAAACUCAAAUGAAUUGACGGGG
RNAcentral lists this ribosomal RNA (392 nucleotides) under uncultured bacterium. Its description in RNAcentral is "partial 16S ribosomal RNA". It matches the Rfam family "Bacterial small subunit ribosomal RNA", at positions 523 to 918 of the family's 1533-position model. The record is from RNAcentral.